GACAGAGGUGCCAAGCGUUAGGCGGAAUCACUGGGCUUAAAGCGUGUGUAGGCGGAUCGUUAAGUACCUUGUGAAAUCCCACGGCUCAACCGUGGAACUGCUGGGUAUACUGGCGGUCUUGGGCCACCUAGGGGCAACUGGAACAAGCGGUGGAGCGGUGAAAUGCGUAGAUAUCGCUUGGAACGCCAACGGUGAAAACAGGUUGCUGGGGGUGUGCUGACGCUGAGACACGAAAGCCAGGGGAGCGAACGGG
This 253-nucleotide ribosomal RNA is filed under the name uncultured bacterium. Its description in RNAcentral is "partial 16S ribosomal RNA". It matches the Rfam family "Bacterial small subunit ribosomal RNA", at positions 524 to 776 of the family's 1533-position model. The record is from RNAcentral.